Molecule: ribosomal RNA, 253 nt
Filed under: uncultured bacterium
Lineage: Bacteria
Description: partial 16S ribosomal RNA
Rfam family: Bacterial small subunit ribosomal RNA
Source: RNAcentral
UACGUAGGUGGCAAGCGUUGUCCGGAUUUAUUGGGCGUAAAGAGCUCGUAGGCGGCCUGUUGCGUCCGCUGUGAAAGCCCGGGGCUUAACCCCGGGUCGGCAGUGGAUACGGGCAGGCUAGAGGUAGGUAGGGGAGAAUGGAAUUCCCGGUGUAGCGGUGAAAUGCGCAGAUAUCGGGAGGAACACCGGUGGCGAAGGCGGUUCUCUGGGCCUUACCUGACGCUGAGGAGCGAAAGCGUGGGGAGCGAACAGG